This 432-nucleotide ribosomal RNA is filed under the name uncultured bacterium. RNAcentral describes it as "partial 16S ribosomal RNA". It matches the Rfam family "Bacterial small subunit ribosomal RNA", at positions 352 to 776 of the family's 1533-position model. The record is from RNAcentral.
CAGUGGGGAAUAUUGGACAAUGGGCGAAAGCCUGAUCCAGCCAUGCCGCGUGUGUGAAGAAGGUCUUCGGAUUGUAAAGCACUUUAAGUUGGGAGGAAGGGCAGUAAGUUAAUACCUUGCUGUUUUGACGUUACCGACAGAAUAAGCACCGGCUAACUUCGUGCCAGCAGCCGCGGUAAUACGAAGGGUGCAAGCGUUAAUCGGAAUUACUGGGCGUAAAGCGCGCGUAGGUGGUUCGUUAAGUUGGAUGUGAAAGCCCCGGGCUCAACCUGGGAACUGCAUCCAAAACUGGCGAGCUAGAGUACGGUAGAGGGUGGUGGAAUUUCCUGUGUAGCGGUGAAAUGCGUAGAUAUAGGAAGGAACACCAGUGGCGAAGGCGACCACCUGGACUGAUACUGACACUGAGGUGCGAAAGCGUGGGGAGCAAACAGG